Molecule: unclassified non-coding RNA, 297 nt
Filed under: Hevea brasiliensis (rubber tree)
Lineage: Eukaryota; Viridiplantae; Streptophyta; Magnoliopsida; Malpighiales; Euphorbiaceae
Source: RNAcentral
CAGGCUGUACAACCCUGGAUCAAUUAUGACAGGCUUGGCUCUCUGAUACUCCUUCCAACCAAUGUCACUGGUGUGCUCAAUAAAAUUAAGGUUUCUUGGAAUGGUAGACAAAGUUUGAAGCAGAUCAUCUUGAGUGAGCAAGGGAUAAUCGGAAGCACUCAAAUUGAUAAACCAAUCCCAGUCCCCACCAUCUCUUAACAAAAUGGCCGCAGCAUGAAGGGUAUUACUAACCAUAGUAGGACCUCUAUACGUUACCAAAUUAGACCUCACAACAACCCUCACAUUCCCCACCUCCUU